RNAcentral lists this ribosomal RNA (319 nucleotides) under uncultured bacterium. Its description in RNAcentral is "bacterial SSU rRNA". It matches the Rfam family "Bacterial small subunit ribosomal RNA", at positions 29 to 374 of the family's 1533-position model. The record is from RNAcentral.
AACGAACGCUGGCGGCAUGCCUAACACAUGCAAGUCGAACGAGACCUUCGGGUCUAGUGGCGCACGGGUGCGUAACGCGUGGGAACCUGCCUUUAGGUUCGGAAUAACUCAGAGAAAUUUGAGCUAAUACCGGAUAAUGUCUUCGGACCAAAGAUUUAUCGCCUUUAGAUGGGCCCGCGUUUGGAUUAGCUAGUUGGUGGGGUAAAGGCCUACCAAGGCGACGAUCCAUAGCUGGUCUGAGAGGAUGAUCAGCCACACUGGGACUGAGACACGGCCCAGACUCCUACGGGAGGCAGCAGUGGGGAAUAUUGGACAAUGG